Molecule: unclassified non-coding RNA, 3773 nt
Filed under: Octopus sinensis (East Asian common octopus)
Lineage: Eukaryota; Metazoa; Mollusca; Cephalopoda; Octopoda; Octopodidae
Description: protocadherin beta-6-like, transcript variant X4
Source: RNAcentral
ACUAUCUACAUAUAUGAGAAACCUAACUAGAGAUGUGCACGGCAGCAGCGGCAGCGGCAGCAGCAGCAGCAGCCGCAGUGGCUGUCAUAUACCGGCAGCAGUCAAAGUAAGAACUCUGCAUCAGGAUGUACGUCUCCAGUUGAGAUGAAUUUACACGGAUAAUAUGCCACAGAAUCAUUUUGACAUUUUGUGAUUACAACUGCAACAGAAAAGAAUAUGCUGCUUUCACUUUGUGUGUUACUCUCAUUCCUAACCAAAACUCUUUGUGUAGAUCUUGUUUACCAUGUGGAGGAAGGCAGGAGUCCUUCUACAUAUAUCGGAAAUAUUGCGACAAAUACAAAAUUGCUGGACAAUGUACAAAUGAAAGACCGCAAUAAGGUGUGGUUUAGCAUAAUACAACAGAGCGGUGCCGCUGAUAAACAGUUAUUCAAUGUUUCUAAAAACGGUAAACUUUAUACAGCUCAGGUAUUGGAUGCAGAAUCUCUUUGUUCAUAUGCCAAAGAAUGUUUCAAAACAAUCAAAAUUGCUGUCCGUCGAGCAAAGACUUUUAUGAAGAUUUUAAAAAUAAAAAUUGUCAUUGAUGAUGUUAAUGACCAUCAACCAGAAUUCCCAUUAACACAAGUUAGUAUCCAGUUUUCAGAAAGAGAUGGCAGAGGAACCAAAAUUUCAGUUCCAAAUGCCAUAGACAAAGAUGUAGGUGUUCUUAAUUCUCAGAUUACAUAUCAACUUGAAAAGAGUUCUGACGAACCAUUUGCUUUAUUAUAUUCCAAGAGAAUUGAUGGAACCAGUAAAUUAGAAAUUAUUUUAGAAGAAAAACUUGAUCGAGAAGCAAAAGACCGAUAUGUUUUGGAAGUUAUUGCAAGAGAUGGAGGAUCACCCGUCAAACAAAGCGUUUUGACGGUAUAUAUAGCAGUGGCGGAUGAAAAUGACAACUCCCCAAUUUUUUCACAGAAUGUUUAUAACAUCUCCAUAAGAAACAGACACCAAAAAUCUAUUCCUGUAACAACUCUAUUCGCUAAUGAUUUGGACUCAGGUAAAAAUGGCAAAAUAGUUUACCGUUUUAGUUCCAAAACUUCAGAUGUUGCAAAAUAUCAGUUUAUUUUAAAUCAAAUAACUGGGGAGAUAUUUCUUAGCAAUGAAUUUGAUUUUAAUGAAAAAGUCACUUACAUGCUUUUUGUUGAAGCAACUGACAAAGGAAGUCCGCCCUUAAGUUCCAUUGCUCUCGUUCUAGUAAAUGUUAUUAAUGACCGCAAUAACCAACCAAAAAUUGAUGUCAACUUUGUCUCUGCUCUUGACGAAAACACUGCUGUAAUAACUGAGGACACUAAAGUUGGCAGUUUUAUUGCAUAUGUAAUGAUCACCGAUGAUGAUAUUGGACAAAAUGGCAUAGUUAGUUGUAAUCUACAACAUGAUAAAUUCCAGCUUUUAACUAUGAAUUCUAAAGAAUUCAAAAUCAUAGUCAAAAAUCCAGUUGAUCGAGAAAAGGAAGAUCAUUACCAAAUUGUAAUUGUGUGCUCUGAUAAAGGAUUCCCUCCUCAAAAGACUGAAAGAGCUUUCUCCAUCCAAGUGACUGAUGUCAAUGAUGUACAGCCUCAGUUUACUAAAAAUACAUUCAAGUUUCUCACUUAUGAAAACGAGGAACCUAAUUUCCCUGUCGGAUUCAUCAAUGCAACUGAUGAAGAUCUCGGACUUGGAAAACGACUGACUUUUUCUCUGCAAAAUUCAAAUGAUGCAUCCCUUCCUUUUAAGAUAACUGAUAAUGGAUUUAUUUCCACAACACAGUCGCUAGAUCGCGAAAGGCAGGAUAUAUACAAAUUUCAAGUGUGGGUGAGAGAUAAUGGAAUACCGUCGCUAAGUAAUAAAGCAAAUGUUAUUGUUGAAGUCAUGGACGAAAAUGACAAUGCUCCACAUUUCAUUUUCCCAAGUGUUAACCCAUUUAGUCUAGAUGUCUACUAUCAUCCAAACAGUAGAAAUAACAUCUCAGUAUUGAAAGUUGCUGACAGAGAUAGCCCAAGAAAUGCUUUUUUCAAAUAUGAAAUAGUUAAAGGAAAUGAAAAACGAUUGUUUACAAUUGAUUCAUACACAGGUGUGUUGUCAUUCUCUCGUACAGUGUACCAGAAUGAUGCUGGCUUGUAUAAACUACAGUGUGCAGUCAGAGAUAGCGGCACUCCUGUUUUGACUGCGACCACCAAUUUAUCUUUAACAUUGAUAGUUAGCAAUAAAACAUUGAAAAUGAUGAAAGACAAACACAUACUUUUGGAUAACAGAAUACAUGUUAAUUUGGUAAUACUAAUAACUUUGGCAUCUGUUAUUGUAUCAGUUGUUGUUGUCGUUUCUAUAACAGCAUGCAUUGUCAGAUGUCAUAAGAGAAAUGCUCUGCACAUGACUGCAGUAGAUACAUCAAAUCGGUCUUUUAGAGAAAAGAGACACUUAAUCUCUCAAACGAACAAUUCUGCUGUCAUAACAGGAAAUUCAGAUGAGAUGAGAAAUAGAAAUAUUCAGCUGAUGAGGUCAAGAAGUCAGCUUUUCACUGAAGAGGAAUUACAGUAUGAUUGGAAAACAUCUACUAUAACCAGAAAGCUGCCAACACCUACACAGGAUAGAAAAAAUUUGGAGAGCACAGAUUUGUUUGACAUUCUUGCCGCUUGAAAAUGAGGCUCGGAAUGAAAGAAAGUUGUGAAGCAGGAGAAAUCUAAGAUCAAAAAUGAUUCUUCACAUUGCCAGCAACAUGUUUGUCUCUCACGACCAGAAGCAGCUCAGAAAUACAAAUCUAUGCUUCCCAUAACAUGUAAUGGACUCCGGAAAUAAAAAUGAAAGAGAAACCUAAAAUAUUGCAUAUCACGGAACAAUUUUCCUGACUUUAUUGAUGAUGAUAUAUAUAUAUAUAUACAUAUAUAUAUAUAUAUAUAUAUAUACAUACAAUGAAAACAUUUCUUCUGGUAAAAGAUGAAAAUAUUGUCAAAGCAGCUGAUCUAUAUGUCAUCUCUACUGGGAAACUAAAAGUCUCACAAAGCAUAUAUAUAUAUAUAUAUAUGUAUGUAUAUAUGUAUGUAUGUAUAUAUGUAUAUAUAUACACACUCUGGGACAGUAGGCAUUUCAUAAUUGAUACAUUUAUCAUUGAAACUGCAACACCAAAAAUAUGCAGUAGCACCAGAAAAUUCUAUCAUUUAUCUUUCAUAAACUGAUACAUCCUUACAUCCAUACAUCCAUACAUCCAUCCAUACAUACUUACAUACAUACACAUACAUACAUAUAUACAGACAUCUACACAUACACACAUGCAUAAAUUGUAUACAUACAUAAACUUGCAUACAUAUAAUGUUUGUAAAGAUGACGAUUUUGGAGAUGUUAACGAUGGGGAUAAUGAAGAAAGGAGAAGAAGAACCAAAAAAAAAUAUAUAUAUAUAUAUCAACAAAAAACAAAAACAAUGUACAUUUCAUAUACAUCAUUUUUCUCAUUUUAGUUUUUAACAAAGAAUUCUGACUUUGAAUAACUUGUGAAUAACUUGACUUUACAACAUAAUUGUUAUGUUCCUGUGUUGCAAGCUGGAUGUGUACAUCGUCAUGAAAUUUUGAAUUGAAGUUUAAAUUAUUCUCCAAUUAGAUCAUUCCUCUAUCCUCCAUCAGAGUGGAAUACAGCUAUUUAAGUUGGUUGCACUGUGAUUUGUCAUUCAAAACUCCAUGUGACUUCGUCUUUGGUUUGAUACCAAUAUUACAGAAUCUGUUGUUCAGUUUUGAAAUUCAUUCUUCUUGUAUAUAAAUAAUCAGAAAUA